RNAcentral lists this ribosomal RNA (466 nucleotides) under uncultured bacterium. Its description in RNAcentral is "partial 16S ribosomal RNA". It matches the Rfam family "Bacterial small subunit ribosomal RNA", at positions 30 to 507 of the family's 1533-position model. The record is from RNAcentral.
CGAACGCUGGCGGCGUGCUUAACACAUGCAAGUCGACCGGAAAGGCCCUGCUUUUGUGGGGUGCUCGAGUGGCGAACGGGUGAGUAACACGUGAGUAACCUGCCCUUGACUUUGGGAUAACUUCAGGAAACUGGGGCUAAUACCGGAUAGGAGCUCCUGCUGCAUGGUGGGGGUUGGAAAGUUUCGGCGGUUGGGGAUGGACUCGCGGCUUAUCAGCUUGUUGGUGGGGUAGUGGCUUACCAAGGCUUUGACGGGUAGCCGGCCUGAGAGGGUGAACGGCCACAUUGGGACUGAGAUACGGCCCAGACUCCUACGGGAGGCAGCAGUGGGGAAUAUUGCACAAUGGGCGGAAGCCUGAUGCAGCAACGCCGCGUGCGGGAUGACGGCCUUCGGGUUGUAAACCGCUUUCGCCUGUGACGAAGCGUGAGUGACGGUAAUGGGUAAAGAAGCACCGGCUAACUACGUG